CACAGGUGGGAAAGGAGAUUAUGCCCCUGCUCCAGACAGGGACACCUCCCAGAGCUCUGAUGUGUCUCUCCCAGAUUGUAAAGCAUGAAGACAGCUGCCUGGAGUGGACUGAGUGACAGACGAUGUGUUCAGGUCUCUCCUGUGACAUCCAGAGUCCUCAGUUCUCUUUAGACACCAGUGUCUGAUGUUCCCUGUGAUCUAUGGCUUCAGUGUGAAGAACUGUGAAGCCCAGCCUGCCCUGCACUUCAGGACCCUGUCCCUGCACUGUCUGUGUUCCCUUCCACAGCCAAGUCCAGCCUGGGGGUGGGGACAUCUGCAUCCUGUCACUCCCUGCUACCCUGAGCUUCUGCCCCUCACAUUGAGAAUAAGAAUCUGAGUGUGAACUUGAUUGUUCACAUCCUUGACACAAGUGUGGAUGGCUUUUUAAAUUGCUGGAUGGAAUACUUAGAGGUUUUUUGUUUUGGGGUUUUGCUUUGUUUGGUUUUGUUUUUGAAAAAAAUAAAAGGCAGAUGGAGAAGCUUCCAGAAUC
RNAcentral lists this long non-coding RNA (529 nucleotides) under Rattus norvegicus (Norway rat). Its description in RNAcentral is "long non-coding RNA NONRATT017137". The record is from RNAcentral. Lineage: Eukaryota; Metazoa; Chordata; Mammalia; Rodentia; Muridae.